UUUCUGAUUUGGUCGGUGAAGGAAGUAUUUUUACAAUUACUUAGAAAUAAGAUCCUAUGAAUGAGCGAGUAUACGUAAUUUUUUUUUUUUUUUGACUAAUGAAAGGUUAUGAAAUAGGUAAGCAACUAGUAGUACUAACUAAUUUAAUACCGAGACUCAGCAGUGAGAGGUCUUCUAGAAUUUCGGAAAGUUUAUUUAAGGGUUACGUAAUAAACACGG
RNAcentral lists this long non-coding RNA (219 nucleotides) under Brassica napus (rape). RNAcentral's name for it is "long non-coding RNA (BNAP_LNC005030)". The record is from RNAcentral. Lineage: Eukaryota; Viridiplantae; Streptophyta; Magnoliopsida; Brassicales; Brassicaceae.